Molecule: ribosomal RNA, 497 nt
Filed under: uncultured bacterium
Lineage: Bacteria
Description: partial 16S ribosomal RNA
Rfam family: Bacterial small subunit ribosomal RNA
Source: RNAcentral
GACGAACGCUGGCGGCGUGCCUAAUACAUGCAAGUUGAGCGCUGAAGGUUGGUACUUGUACCAACUGGAUGAGCAGCGAACGGGUGAGUAACGCGUGGGGAAUCUGCCUUUGAGCGGGGGACAACAUUUGGAAACGAAUGCUAAUACCGCAUAAAAACUUUAAACACAAGUUUUAAGUUUGAAAGAUGCAAUUGCAUCACUCAAAGAUGAUCCCGCGUUGUAUUAGCUAGUUGGUGAGGUAAAGGCUCACCAAGGCGAUGAUACAUAACCGACCUGAGAGGGGUAUCGGCCACAUUGGGAAUGAGACACGGCCCAAACUCCUACGGGAGGCAGCAGUAGGGAAUCUUCGGCAAUAGACGAAAGUCUGACCGAGCAACGCCGCGGGAGUGAAGAAGGGUGUCGGAUCGUAAAACUCUGUUGGUAGAGAAGAACGUUGGUGAGAGUGGAAAGCUCAUCAAGUGACGGUAACUACCCAGAAAGGGACGGCUAACUACGUG